CCUACGGGAGGCAGCAGUGGGGAAUUGUUCGCAAUGGGCGCAAGCCUGACGACGCAACGCCGCGUGGAGGAUGAAGACCUUCGGGUCGUAAACUCCUUUCGAUCGGGACGAAUGUUUUCCGGGUGAACAAUCCGGAAAAGUGACGGUACCGAGAGAAGAAGCCCCGGCUAACUCUGUGCCAGCAGCCGCGGUAAUACAGGGGGGGCAAGCGUUGUUCGGAAUUACUGGGCGUAAAGGGCUUGUAGGUGGCCAACUAAGUCAGACGUGAAAUCCCUCAGCUUAACUGGGGAACUGCGUCUGAUACUGGAUGGCUUGAGUUUGGGAGAGGGAUGCGGAAUUCCAGGUGUAGCGGUGAAAUGCGUAGAUAUCUGGAGGAACACCGGUGGCGAAGGCGGCAUCCUGGACCAACACUGACACUGAGGAGCGAAAGCCAGGGGAGCAAACGGGAUUAGAUACCCCGGUAGUCCUGGCCCUAAACGAUGAAUGCUGUGUGGCGGUAGUCGAUCCUCGCGUCGCGACGACUACGCAUAAGACAUCCGUCCGUCGGGAGGUACGGUCGCGAGGACGUGAACGUACGAAGAAGUAGUACGACGCGAGAGACGCGACGACGACGACGACGGAGGAGGAG
This 628-nucleotide ribosomal RNA is filed under the name uncultured bacterium. RNAcentral describes it as "bacterial SSU rRNA". The stretch from base 1 to 541 matches the Rfam family "Bacterial small subunit ribosomal RNA", at positions 338 to 873 of the family's 1533-position model. The record is from RNAcentral.